AAAGUUUAUAGAAAUUUUUCUGGACUUCGGCACGGAGACACACGAGAUAUAUACUUAGAUCGUACUAAUAAAGAGAGAGGUGUUCUGAGGAAGGCCAGACACCGCUCGUACGAAUGCAAGAUACAUGUUCAUUUCGCGACUUCGUACAACUUGGUGAGAAUUAAAGAACGAGGGUUGAGAUAUGCAACUCGCACAACAAGAUGUGGACGAACAUCUGCGAAAGCAACGAAACGCAAAGUUUCUAAUACAAGAAGUGUCAGAAAUAUAUGAUCUCUCCGUGGUCUAUCCUCAGUAUCUAUGUCCACGAUGUUACAGUGGAACAUUACGAUUUGAGGAGAAAGGCCCCUAAUAAAAGUGUGGAGAGAUCAAAUUAAUUCUAAGUUUGAGAGUGUGAAUGAGGUUUAACAUCACACUUAUAAA
Long non-coding RNA from Megachile rotundata (alfalfa leafcutting bee), 420 nucleotides. The record is from RefSeq and is a predicted model, not a curated record. Lineage: Eukaryota; Metazoa; Arthropoda; Insecta; Hymenoptera; Megachilidae.